This 402-nucleotide ribosomal RNA is filed under the name Triticum aestivum (bread wheat). RNAcentral describes it as "partial small subunit ribosomal RNA". Lineage: Eukaryota; Viridiplantae; Streptophyta; Magnoliopsida; Poales; Poaceae. The record is from RNAcentral.
AUGGAGUCGAAGAAGGAUUGGCCGGUGCUGCCGGCUGGCGUCAAGUUCGAUCCCACGGAUCAGGAGCUGAUCGAGCACCUUGAGGCCAAAGUGAGUGCUGACAGCGCGAGAUUUCAGUCUCUCAUCGAUUUGUUCAUACCAACCAUCGGCAGCGAGCACGGCAUAUGCUACACCCAACCUGAGAAACUUCCAGGUAUCACACUAAGUGGCCUAAGGAAGCAUUUCUUCCAGCGCAAUUCCAGGGCGUUCAAAAGGGGCACGUGGAUGCGUCGUAAGAUACAGUCGGAGUGCGGCAUGCACACGAUGUGGCACAAGACCGGCAAUACCUUGCCGGUGAUGGUCAACGGCCGGCAGAUGGGCAACAAAAAAGGUUCUGGUGCUGCACACCAACAAGAACUUUGA